UUUUGAGGAGCUGUGCACUGUUCUGCAGAAAGACCCAUGUCCUUUACCCGCUCCUCUUUCAUGAAUGGCUCAGUCUUGGGAGGGGAACAAUGGAGUGAGUGUAUCAUCUCCAGCAAUCACAAACCUUUCACCAUAGAUUUCAAAGGCAUAUUCCAACCACAGUACGCUCUGAAAUAUUCUUUAGAAAAGUUAUUUUUUAGGAUCAGUGCUAUCUUUGACUAUGGAAUUUAACAAGAUGGGAAGAAGGGUACUGGCUGCCUGAGGAAGUAGUGAGCUUCCUGUCAUUAGGAAUACUCACAAAUAGGCUAUUUUGUCUCUUAGCCACGACAUUGUAAGAGGCUUUAUUUAAAAAUACUCUACUCAUGACUAACUCCUACCAGUGCGAAUGAGAACGUUUAACAUAGAACAUUUUCUGACUCUGGUCUAGAACACGUGUCAGCAUGAAUCAGCGCUUCUGUUAGUACAACUCCACGACCACGAAGUUCUUUGGAAAAAGAAGACUCUGGCAGCAUUGGGCCUGAGUUUCUGCAAGGUGUCAGCUGGCAGGAACAAAAACCAACUGCUUCCUUUAGGUGGGGUGCAUGUCUUCCGGCUGAUCCAAGCCCCACCACCCCCUGUUGCCUGCCUUAUGAUGGGCCUGUUUCUCUUGUUUUUUGUUACCUGGCCAGUCUCAUUGGUCUUCCGAGCUUGUAACUCUUCUAGGUCGUUUAUUCAUCUUGUCAUGAUGGGAUUAUGCAUGCCUAUGAAAUACCAGGCUGUGACUGUGAGAUUUAUACAAGUGCCAGGACUGGCAUGCAGUCAGAUACAGGGCAUUUGGGGGUGGUUCUGGGUGAAUUCCUCUCUGCCCUGCUAUGGUUUGCUGCACUUGAUUGCUCUAGUCUGCUCUGACUUAAAUAUCAGUGGGAUUGACUUUGGCUUUCUGUGACUGGUCAGUCCAUUCAGAACGGAGCCAGUGAUUCCAGAAAUAUCCUGGUUCUUGGUUGGCUUGAUCUGUGUGAUUGGAUCUGGAAAAUACUCGCCCACUCACCAUUUCCCUGGGAGAGUUCAGUUCAAUCUCUCAGUUGUGUCCGACUCUUUGCAACCCCUUGGA
Non-coding RNA from Odocoileus virginianus texanus, 1090 nucleotides. The record is from RefSeq and is a predicted model, not a curated record. Lineage: Eukaryota; Metazoa; Chordata; Mammalia; Artiodactyla; Cervidae.